This 1303-nucleotide long non-coding RNA is filed under the name Sorghum bicolor (sorghum). Its description in RNAcentral is "long non-coding RNA (SBIC_LNC008199)". The record is from RNAcentral. Lineage: Eukaryota; Viridiplantae; Streptophyta; Magnoliopsida; Poales; Poaceae.
ACAGGGAUGACGUUCUCCAAGUCGAACUCGGUAUUCGCCAUGUCAAUCUUGAUCUUGAAUCUGUCCCACCGGGCAUGCCAAAAGAUGUUUUGGUGCAAAACUGAUCUGCAAACACAAAGGGCUAAUACCCGAUUUAAACGUUAAGGCGUGCUAACCGAUUUGACCUUUCAAUCGACAAAGGUGGUAACUCGACCACUUUGGUCCUGACAACAGCGAUGUGCCCGGAUGUCAUGGCCAAGAGGUGAUCACGCAGAACUUGAGAACGCACUAAGCUUAAGUCAACGGAUUCCUAAGAAGUCGUAAUAAAAAGAAAAUAUGACGAAGUCGUCGAAAGAGUAGAUGUUGGAAUAUGAGUAAAAACUUGCGUUUGAUUGAUUGGUAGAUUGUCUCAUUACAUUGCCCUAGGGUCUAUAUUUAUACCCUGUCUGAAGAGCUACAACCAGACACGACUAGAACUCGAAUUCCAAACUAGACGGAACCGGUACGCAGAACGAAUUUUAAUAACUAAGGAAAACAUAAAACUACCCCCUUGUAACCGACCGGGGCACCGCCAUAGAUCAAUCGGCAAUCUCCACGCUUUUCUCCGGAGUCAUCGGCAGACUUCCUGUUGUGGCCAUCGGCAAACACUAACACUGAUCAUCAGCACGAACACGUCACCACCUCUAGACUUGGUCAGAUUCAACUAUCUCCUCAUCGGCAACCACCUUCAUCGGCAAUUUUCCUGUAGACUAGUUACCGUUGCUUCAUCUACCGAUCUAUACUUUACUAAUCCCUAGGUACGUGUCCAAAAACGGUGUCAACAGUUAAUCAGGUUCAUAUAAUCUUGAAAAUAAAAUAAAAAUAUCAAAAACAGUAAGCCCCACGUGAGUAUGCUCAUGGCAUAAAACCCAUAAGUACAUUCACUGUGGUGGGGUAAAAAUAAAAUAAAUAUAUUCCUAUCCUAUAAAAAUGAAAAUAUAAAAAUAAAUUUAUGAUCCUACCAAAGAGUGUAACAUUUAUUGAGGAGGCUCCAAAUGAUAUAGGCUAGAUAUUUAUGCUAACACUUAACUAGUUCCACAAAGCUUUGUUGUCUAUUUGAGCUCCACAGAAUUCAAGGAUCAAAGAAGACUAGCAGACGGAGGACAUCCUAAUCCCUGUCAAGGUGCUGCCGACAUUCAAAUACACCUCCGCCACCUCCUAGCUACAUCAGGAGAAAUUACGUAAAAAUCCAGCUUCGAGGAGAGCACCCCCUUUAUCCAGCUAAGUAUUCUACUCAUGUUUAUAUUUUACUCAAAUAAUAAAAAGAUGCAUAAUCAUAAAAACC